RNAcentral lists this long non-coding RNA (266 nucleotides) under Elaeis guineensis (African oil palm). Its description in RNAcentral is "long non-coding RNA (EGUI_LNC009160)". Lineage: Eukaryota; Viridiplantae; Streptophyta; Magnoliopsida; Arecales; Arecaceae. The record is from RNAcentral.
AGAGCAAAAGAAAAGGCCAAGAAAGAGGUCAGUGAAGCCUCCAUGAAAGCUGAUGCCAUCGAAAGGAGAGCCGAAGAUGCUGGGCAGCAUUGAGAAAGGCUGUUGAGGAGAAUUCUUGACUGCUGAGAGAAAUAAAAGAGCUGAAGGUUUGAUUGGGGGCUGAAAAGAAGCAAAUAGCCGAGGCCACUUCUAAAGCUAUGGAGGACUUUCAGAUCUCUGAAAAAUAUGAGGAAGAAAGGGCUAAAUACUCCACUGACGCCUAUGAC